AUUGAACGCUGGCGGCAGGCUUAACACAUGCAAGUCGAACGAUGACUCUCUAGCUUGCUAGAGAAGAUUAGUGGCGGACGGGUGAGUAACAUUUAGGAAUCUGCCUAGUAGUGGGGGAUAGCUCGGGGAAACUCGAAUUAAUACCGCAUACGACCUACGGGUGAAAGGGGGCGCAAGCUCUUGCUAUUAGAUGAGCCUAAAUCAGAUUAGCUAGUUGGUGGGGUAAAGGCCCACCAAGGCGACGAUCUGUAACUGGUCUGAGAGGAUGAUCAGUCACACCGGAACUGAGACACGGUCCGGACUCCUACGGGAGGCAGCAGUGGGGAAUAUUGGACAAUGGGGCAACCCUGAUCCAGCCAUGCCGCGUGUGUGAAGAAGGCCUUUUGGUUGUAAAGCACUUUAAGCAGGGAGGAGAGACUAAUGGUUAAUACCCAUUAGAUUAGACGUUACCUGCAGAAUAAGCACCGGCUAACUCUGUGCCAGCAGCCGCGGUAAUACAGAGGGUGCGAGCGUUAAUCGGAAUUACUGGGCGUAAAGCGAGUGUAGGUGGCUCAUUAAGUCACAUGUGAAAUCCCCGGGCUUAACCUGGGAACUGCAUGUGAUACUGGUGGUGCUAGAAUAUGUGAGAGGGAAGUAGAAUUCCAGGUGUAGCGGUGAAAUGCGUAGAGAUCUGGAGGAAUACCGAUGGCGAAGGCAGCUUCCUGGCAUAAUAUUGACACUGAGAUUCGAAAGCGUGGGUAGCAAACAGGAUUAGAUACCCUGGUAGUCCACGCCGUAAACGAUGUCUACUAGCCGUUGGGGUCCUUGAGACUUUAGUGGCGCAGUUAACGCGAUAAGUAGACCGCCUGGGGAGUACGGCCGCAAGGUUAAAACUCAAAUGAAUUGACGGGGGCCCGCACAAGCGGUGGAGCAUGUGGUUUAAUUCGAUGCAGCGCGAAGAACCUUACCUGGUCUUGACAUAGUGAGAAUCCUGUAGAGAUGCGGGAGUGCCUUCGGGAAUUCACAUACAGGUGCUGCAUGGCUGUCGUCAGCUCGUGUCGUGAGAUGUUGGGUUAAGUCCCGCAACGAGCGCAACCCUUUUCCUUAUUUGCCAGCGGGUUAAGCCGGGAACUUUAAGGAUACUGCCAGUGACAAACUGGAGGAAGGCGGGGACGACGUCAAGUCAUCAUGGCCCUUACGACCAGGGCUACACACGUGCUACAAUGGUAGGUACAGAGGGUUGCUACACAGCGAUGUGAUGCUAAUCUCAAAAAGCCUAUCGUAGUCCGGAUUGGAGUCUGCAACUCGACUCCAUGAAGUCGGAAUCGCUAGUAAUCGCAGAUCAGAAUGCUGCGGUGAAUACGUUCCCGGGCCU
RNAcentral lists this ribosomal RNA (1354 nucleotides) under uncultured bacterium. RNAcentral describes it as "bacterial SSU rRNA". It matches the Rfam family "Bacterial small subunit ribosomal RNA", at positions 28 to 1381 of the family's 1533-position model. The record is from RNAcentral.